This is a small nucleolar RNA of Manis pentadactyla (Chinese pangolin), 71 nucleotides long. RefSeq annotates it as small nucleolar RNA SNORD27. The record is from RefSeq and is a predicted model, not a curated record. The transcript has a single exon. Lineage: Eukaryota; Metazoa; Chordata; Mammalia; Pholidota; Manidae.
ACUCCAUGAUGAAUGUAAAAUGACAAGCAUAUGACUGAGCUUGAAGUGAUGUCAUCUUACUACUGAGAAGU